ACGCUGGCGGCAGGCCUAACACAUGCAAGUCGAGCGGUAGAGAGAAGCUUGCUUCUCUUGAGAGCGGCGGACGGGUGAGUAAUGCCUAGGAAUCUGCCUGGUAGUGGGGGAUAACGUUCGGAAACGGACGCUAAUACCGCAUACGUCCUACGGGAGAAAGCAGGGGAUCUUCGGGCCUUGCGCUAUCAGAUGAGCCUAGGUCGGAUUAGCUAGUUGGUGAGGUAAUGGCUCACCAAGGCGACGAUCCGUAACUGGUCUGAGAGGAUGAUCAGUCACACUGGAACUGAGACACGGUCCAGACUCCUACGGGAGGCAGCAGUGGGGAAUAUUGGACAAUGGGCGAAAGCCUGAUCCAGCCAUGCCGCGUGUGUGAAGAAGGUCUUCGGAUUGUAAAGCACUUUAAGUUGGGAGGAAGGGCAGUUACCUAAUACGUGAUUGUUUUGACGUUACCGACAGAAUAAGCACCGGCUAACUCUGUGCCAGCAGCCGCGGUAAUACAGAGGGUGCAAGCGUUAAUCGGAAUUACUAGGCGUAAAGCGCGCGUAGGUGGUUUGUUAAGUUGGAAGUGAAAUCCCCGGGCUCAACCUGGGAACUGCAUUCAAAACUGACUGACUAGAGUAUGGUAGAGGGUGGUGGAAUUUCCUGUGUAGCGGUGAAAUGCGUAGAUAUAGGAAGGAACACCAGUGGCGAAGGCGACCACCUGGACUGAUACUGACACUGAGGUGCGAAAGCGUGGGGAGCAAAC
RNAcentral lists this ribosomal RNA (745 nucleotides) under uncultured bacterium. RNAcentral's name for it is "bacterial SSU rRNA". It matches the Rfam family "Bacterial small subunit ribosomal RNA", at positions 33 to 773 of the family's 1533-position model. The record is from RNAcentral.